This 253-nucleotide ribosomal RNA is filed under the name uncultured Turneriella sp. RNAcentral's name for it is "partial 16S ribosomal RNA". It matches the Rfam family "Bacterial small subunit ribosomal RNA", at positions 524 to 776 of the family's 1533-position model. The record is from RNAcentral. Lineage: Bacteria; Pseudomonadati; Spirochaetota; Leptospiria; Leptospirales; Leptospiraceae.
UACGUAUGGGGCAAGCGUUGUUCGGAAUUAUUGGGCGUAAAGGGCACGCAGGCGGACUGUUAAGUUGGAUGUUUAAUCUUCAGGCUCAACCUGAAGUCUGCAUCCAAUACUGACAGUCUUGAGUUUUGGAGAGGAAAGCGGAAUUCUCGGUGUAGCGGUGGAAUGCGUAGAUAUCGAGAGGAACACCAAUGGCGAAGGCAGCUUUCUGGCCAAAAACUGACGCUCAUGUGCGAAAGCGUGGGGAGCAAACAGG